This is a non-coding RNA of Acanthosepion pharaonis, 114 nucleotides long. NCBI's taxonomy places the organism in Eukaryota, Metazoa, Mollusca, Cephalopoda, Sepiida, Sepiidae. The record is from the annotation of a GenBank genome assembly.
UUACGACCAUAUCACGUUGAAACACCGGUUCUCGUACAAUCACCGAAGUUAAGCGAAGUCGAGCCUGGUCAGUACUUAGAUGGGUGACCGCUUCGGAAUACCAGGUGCUGUAAG